GUGCUCGGUUCAGCAGCACAUAUACUAAAAUUGGAAUGAUACAGAGAAGAUUAGCAUGGCCCCUGCGCAAGCAUGACAUACAAAUUUGUGAAGCGUUCCAUAUUUUU
RNAcentral lists this small nuclear RNA (107 nucleotides) under Rhinopithecus bieti (black snub-nosed monkey). Lineage: Eukaryota; Metazoa; Chordata; Mammalia; Primates; Cercopithecidae. The record is from RNAcentral.